Molecule: ribosomal RNA, 301 nt
Filed under: uncultured bacterium
Lineage: Bacteria
Description: partial 16S ribosomal RNA
Rfam family: Bacterial small subunit ribosomal RNA
Source: RNAcentral
CAGCAGCCGCGGGAAUACAGAGGAUGCAAGCGUUAUCCGGAAUGAUUGGGCGUAAAGCGUCUGUAGGUGGCUUUUCAAGUCCGCCGUCAAAUCCCAGGGCUCAACCCUGGACAGGCGGUGGAAACUACCAAGCUGGAGUACGGUAGGGGCGGAGGGAAUUUCCAGUGGAGCGGUGAAAUGCGUUGAGAUCGAAAAGAACACCAACAGCGAAAGCACUCUGCUGGGACGACACUGACACUAAGAGACGAAAGCUAGGGGAGCAAAUGGGAUUAGAUACCCCUGUAGUCCCUGUCUCUUAUCC